GAUGAACGCUAGCGGCAGGCCUAACACAUGCAAGUCGAGGGGUAGUUACUUUCGGGUAAUGAGACCGGCGCACGGGUGCGUAACGCGUAUGCAAUCUACCUUUUACAGGGGAAUAGCCCAGAGAAAUUUGGAUUAAUGCCCCAUAGCACUUAAGAAUGGCAUCAUUCAUAAGUUAAAGGUUACGGUACAGGAUGGGCAUGCGCCCAUUAGCUAGAUGGUAAGGUAACGGCUUACCAUGGCAACGAUGGGUAGGGGGCCUGAGAGGUGGUCCCCCACACUGGUACUGAGACACGGACCAGACUCCUACGGGAGGCAGCAGUGAGGAAUAUUGGUCAAUGGGGCGCAAGCCUGAACCAGCCAUGCCGCGUGCAGGAAGACGGUCCUAUGGAUUGUAAACUGCUUUAUUUGGGAAUAAACCUAUUUACGUGUAGAUAGCUGAAGGUACCAAAUGAAUAAGCACCGGCUAACUCCGUG
This 474-nucleotide ribosomal RNA is filed under the name uncultured bacterium. Its description in RNAcentral is "bacterial SSU rRNA". It matches the Rfam family "Bacterial small subunit ribosomal RNA", at positions 28 to 507 of the family's 1533-position model. The record is from RNAcentral.